GUAAGGAAUAUUGGUCAAUGGACGAAAGUCUGAACCAGCCAUGCCGCGUGGAGGAUGAAGGUCCUCUGGAUUGUAAACUUCUUUUAUAUGGGACGAAAAUGGGGCUUUCUAGCUCAACUGACGGUACCAUAUGAAUAAGCACCGGCUAACUCCGUGCCAGCAGCCGCGGUAAUACGGAGGGUGCAAGCGUUAUCCGGAUUCACUGGGUUUAAAGGGUGCGUAGUUGGAUUGGUAAGUCAGAGGUGAAAUCUCCGGGCUCAACUCGGAAACUGCCUUUGAUACUAUCAAUCUUGAAUAUUGUGGAGGUUAGCGGAAUAUGUCAUGUAGCGGUGAAAUGCUUAGAUAUGACAUAGAACACCAAUUGCGAAGGCAGCUGGCUACACAUAUAUUGACACUGAGGCACGAAAGCGUGGGAAUCAAACAGGAUUAGAUACCCCGGUAGUCC
This 445-nucleotide ribosomal RNA is filed under the name uncultured bacterium. RNAcentral's name for it is "partial 16S ribosomal RNA". It matches the Rfam family "Bacterial small subunit ribosomal RNA", at positions 354 to 796 of the family's 1533-position model. The record is from RNAcentral.